This 630-nucleotide long non-coding RNA is filed under the name Bos taurus (domestic cattle). RNAcentral's name for it is "long non-coding RNA NONBTAT022542". Lineage: Eukaryota; Metazoa; Chordata; Mammalia; Artiodactyla; Bovidae. The record is from RNAcentral.
CACGAGCCCAAAGAAAGCUUUAUUUGUUCAUUUCAUACUGGUGUGCACACAGCUUGGUGACAAGAAAAAUGAACAGAAAAAAUGAAUGGAAUUAGAAAAACAAUAUAAGUAAUCUUUACUGAUAAUGAUUUAUUUGUUUAAUAAAUAACUCUCUCUGCUAAAUGACCUUCUAGGAUACUAACCCACUAUUUUAGCUUAUCAAUCAAGUUUCUUUGAUAUCAUCCAAGGUCCUUAUGGGCACCUAAAGGAAACAAAGAUGAGAGGAAGAACCUUUGUGUCAAUGGCAGGCACCACCUAGUGGCAGCAGGUGAUGAAACCUCAUGUUGGCAUGAUGUCUCCAGCAAGAAUGAAGAUGAAAGGUUUUCAAUAGGUGGUUCAGACAUUCCUGGUCUUGAAGAAGCAUGGUUCUCUUCGAUUCUAAAGCAAGAAGGUUGUACCUAGAAAAAUAAUACAACUAAUGGACCCCAAGAUGAUUAUUCAAAGAAUUAGGCUACAAAUCUGACCUGCAGGUAGAAUUAUGGCCACAAAAGUUUUCUCAGUCUUUGUGUAACUUUGUAUAGUCACACCUCUUUAUAAAGACCUCAGUGUUGUUGUUUUUUUUUUUUCCACUUAAAGACCUCUGUAUUUAAG